Molecule: long non-coding RNA, 1309 nt
Filed under: Medicago truncatula (barrel medic)
Lineage: Eukaryota; Viridiplantae; Streptophyta; Magnoliopsida; Fabales; Fabaceae
Description: lncRNA gene20643
Source: RNAcentral
GGGGCUCAUGCCAAACCCUUUUAACUUCAGCACACUUGACCUUGCUGUAACCUUGAUUUUAAAGCUUGUCUGAUUUUUUGCUAUUCUAGUUAGGUACUGAGAGCAAGGUUGGUCGUAAAUCAUACACACAUGAUCUGAUUGUGUAUUAAAGACAUGUUCCAAAUCCGUGUAAAUAUUGAAACCAUCCUUUUCACCAUCACCCUCAACAUCAAUUGUAGUGAUGUUGAAUUCAACUUUCUUAUCAUAUUCCUCGUUCUCAGGAAGGAUAAAGCAAAAAACAAAACCCAACAAAGGGGAGAGAUGAAGUGGAGAGAGAUCAACAAUCAUGUCAUCGUUUGUUGUCUCGUUUGUUGUCUUGUACUCAAACCAAUCUGGAACACUACUUCCAGAAUACACAUACAAUGCUUGAUAAGAAUCAAAGUUAUCUUUGUAAUCAACAUAAGUUUCAACAUAAUCAUCAUGUUCCACUGUUGAUAAAUCUUGAUAUGCAAACUUCAUCAAAUUGAUUUGCAGAUUCAACCCAAUAUUUAUCAGAGAACGCUCAUCCAAGUUCAAGCAAUUCCAGAACUUAACUUCUUUCUUGUUUUCCUUGAAUUGUUCAGCAACUGUUGAAGGGAACAAUACAGACUUCAGUGAGUCACAGUGAACAAGUAGAAUUUCAACUGAUGAAGAAAGCUCGGGUAGAGCCAGAAGCUUGUUGGAAAAUCGUAUGUCUAGUUUUCUUAGCCUCGUAAGAUUCUUGAUGCUUGAAGGUAUGAUCUCAAUGUUACAACUUCUUAAAUCCAGGAUUUCAACUGAUAAAGGAAGCUCGGGUAGAGCCAGAAGCUUUUUGCAACCGCAUAUGUUUAAUUUUCUUAGUCUUGUAAGAUCCUUGAUGCUUGAAGGUAUGCUCUCAAUUUGAGUGGCUUUUAAAACCAGGGUUUCUAGAUUGCUUUGACAUCCAAAAGAUGAUGGCAGUGCAUUGAUGGGACACCACGAUAGAUCUAGUUCUACUAUAUUCUCUAAAGUCACUGAGAAUUCACUUAGUUUUUCGCAACCUGAAAGGCUGAGAUAAUGGAGGGAGCUUAAAUUGGAAUUGCUGGUAAAUGUUGUAAGGGAACGGCAACCUCCUAGGUCCAAACGCACAAGCUUCUCAAGAGUAAAAAUAGAUGGAUGGACGCUUUCCAAAUUAGGACAAACAGUGACUGUCAAUACUUUAAGAUUUGUGGCUUUUGAAAAGUCUGGCAACUCCUUCAGGCUUGCUAAACUGAUUGUAACUUCCUUUAAAUUAACUAGAUUCUGCUACCAAAAAAAAAUUGGUGCGAUCAAA